CCAGUACGGUUAAUCGUGGCACUUCGAACUCUCCUUCUCGAUAGAGGUUGUUGCCAUCAAGGCCGUACGAGAUGC
This 75-nucleotide small nucleolar RNA is filed under the name Leishmania donovani. Its description in RNAcentral is "H/ACA box snoRNA LD30Cs1'H1". The record is from RNAcentral. Lineage: Eukaryota; Euglenozoa; Kinetoplastea; Trypanosomatida; Trypanosomatidae.